UACAAUACAAAAAUUUUCAACUGCUGGAAACCCAGCAUUCCACAACUAAUCUCCUUGAACAAACCUGUACGAAGACCAUUCUGUUAGAUUCCAACUCCUUAGUAGUGCUCAGCCAUCAAUUCCUAGGUGUUUAGUGCAAGAAUUAUCUAGCUUGUGGUGCAAAUUUUGCUCAUGCUUGAUUCAUUUUGGAAAUAGAUGUCUGACAUUCAUAUAUUCACCUAAAUAUAAUUUAAUGGUAAACUUAAAAAUAGAUACCACUUUCACCUAAAUUCAAGUCAUUUCUAAAUAUAAAAUAAUUUAAAAAAG
This 306-nucleotide unclassified non-coding RNA is filed under the name Hevea brasiliensis (rubber tree). The record is from RNAcentral. Lineage: Eukaryota; Viridiplantae; Streptophyta; Magnoliopsida; Malpighiales; Euphorbiaceae.